Molecule: ribosomal RNA, 462 nt
Filed under: uncultured bacterium
Lineage: Bacteria
Description: partial 16S ribosomal RNA
Rfam family: Bacterial small subunit ribosomal RNA
Source: RNAcentral
GACGAACGCUGGCGGCGUGCUUAACACAUGCAAGUCGAGCGGAAAGGCCACUUCGGUGGUACUCGAGCGGCGAACGGGUGAGUAACACGUGAGUAAUCUGCCCCUCACUUUGGGAUAGCCACCGGAAACGGUGAUUAAUACCGGAUAUGACCAUAUGUCGCAUGGCGUGUGGUGGAAAGUUUUUCGGUGAGGGAUGUGCUCGCGGCCUAUCAGCUUGAUGGUGAGGUAAUGGCUCACCAUGGCUUCGACGGGUAGCCGGCCUGAGAGGGUGACCGGUCACACUGGGACUGAGACACGGCCCAGACUCCUACGGGAGGCAGCAGUGGGGAAUAUUGGACAAUGGGCGGAAGCCUGAUCCAGCAACGCCGCGUGAGGGAUGACGGCCUUCGGGUGGUAAACCUCUUUCAGUACCGACGAAGCGCAAGUGACGGUAGGUACAGAAGAAGCACCGGCCAACUACGU